UGUUUGUUUAUUUCUCCUUUUCUGUGUUUGACUUCUGAAUAUUCUCUUUGCUUGCUUUGGUAAAAGUCUUUGUUUAGUAUCUUCCUUGUGUUUAGAAGAGAUUUUGCAACAUACAUUUUCAUAAAGGAAGUUCAUGGUGUUUUGCACUUCAAGACUUUGCUUGCACACUCCUCCUACAAGAAGUCUUACAAAAUGCCUUUAUUGACUGGAAUGCUACAGGAUGGACCUUCGUCUUGGGUCCCUUCUGCUGAAAGCCCGGAGAAGGAAAGGCUGCAGUGCUUUUUCCUUUGGAUCAGUUCUUUAUCCAGAAUGCCAGAUGGACAAAACCACCAACUGGAAAGGAGAUCUGCCAAAGAAGAGGGAAAAUAUUUUCAUAUGUGUUAUACAGCUGAUUGGCAUAGAACUUAAUCUCAGCACCUGCUGGCUGGUGGAAACAUUUACACCCGGUGAAACUCGUGGUGUGAGGGGAAUUUCUGCCUCAUUUUUAAGAGUAACAGCCUUGAACAUAGUUUUGUGUCUUCGUCUCCAGUGUCCUCUGCUGAACAGAAGAAGACUGCUCAGCUUCUUUUAG
Molecule: long non-coding RNA, 571 nt
Filed under: Numida meleagris (helmeted guineafowl)
Lineage: Eukaryota; Metazoa; Chordata; Aves; Galliformes; Numididae
Description: lncRNA (ENSNMEG00000011563.1)
Source: RNAcentral